This is a long non-coding RNA of Mesocricetus auratus (golden hamster), 2568 nucleotides long. RefSeq lists it as uncharacterized. The transcript has 3 exons. The record is from RefSeq and is a predicted model, not a curated record. Lineage: Eukaryota; Metazoa; Chordata; Mammalia; Rodentia; Cricetidae.
GGGAGGGGAGCCGCUCCCGGAAGUGACGCCACACCACGGCGCCGCCCCCGGAGGCUCGCACGACAGUUGUUGGUCUAUGUCUGUCUCUGCAGUAGCCAGAACAAAUCUAAUUUCCUCGCGGGGAAUCGAUGGUUUUUCACAGACUUUAUUAUUAUUAAAAGUGACUUUCUGAGAAAUGGAGCUGCGAGAUCCAGUUUGCCAACUAGGCGACACAAAGACUUCAAUUCCCAGGAGGCACUGUGGUGGCCUUUGCCCUAACAGAAAUUAGAUGUGCAGUGUCUCUUGACUUCAACCCUAUGCGGCCACAAGCUGGAGCUCCACCAGCGGUGCUGUCGUACGACCCCCCUGAUGAGGGAGGGCAGCUGAUAAUUACACUGAAGCAGCUUGUUUCUCUUCAGCUGGAGUCCUAAAGCAUUGCAGAGCGUCAGUGGGAACACGGAUCACCAGCCUCCACAUGGUUCCUGGACAGCACAGACCACUCGUACGAAUUCCUGCUGCAGAAGGAUCGCAGACCCAGACAAGGCCCUCAGAGACUGCCUGGAUGACAAGACAGCAACAUGGCCUCAGGUGGCAGCAUAGACUACCCACAUCAAUAUGGCCUCUGGCAACAGCAUAACCUAUGGACAUUGAUGUGGCUGUAGACAUCAAUAUGCCCCCCACUCAGCAGUAGCAGCAGCAGAGCCCAAGGAUACUGACAUGCCUUCAGGCAGCAGCACAGACCAUGGGCAUCUGCAUAACCUUUGGUGGUAAUUCGGACCAUUGGCAUCAACACUGAUGCUGGCAGCAGUAGGACCACGGACACGGACAUGGCCCACAGAGGUGGCUUGUAACUAGGACAUCACCAUGACCUCAGGUAGCAGUGCUGGCUACUCAGAUUAGUAUGAUUCCCAGCAGCAUGUCUGAGUAUUUGCUUUCACCAUUUAGGGAAAAUGCUGUGUCCCAAACUCCAGUUCUCACCAGACUUCUUAAUAAUGUAAAAUACCACACAGUUUAAACCUCAAGAACCACUAUCAAUUGUCCAAACUCAUAUGUUAGAAACAAUUACCAAGGCCUUCAGUCAUUUUCCUUUUCCCAUUUACUGCUACAUGGACCAUGUAAAUCACACUGCAAAUGUAGCUUUUAGCUCUUGGAAUCUUAUCACAGUGGCAACGUCCACAGUUUAGAGCGGGAAAAUUCACUAAACAUGCAGUAACACCUUCUGUCUAUGUAUUCAUAUACCCAGUUACAUCAACUCAUUAAUCUGUUUUGCCCAUCUACUCACCCAUUUCUCACCAAUCUACGCACAGUACUUCUUUUUACUAAACUUUUUAUUGCUAUGACCAAAUACCCGCGAGAACAACUUAAAGAAGGAAGGGUUUUCUUUGGCUCGUGUUUCCAAGGGUUUCUGUCCAUGGCCACCUGCAUCCAUUGCUUUCAGGCAGGUGGACAUUCAGGAUGUGAAGGGAUGUCACAGGGGAGGGAUGCUGUUCUCCUCUCUUGGCAACCGAGAAGCAAAGGGGAAAGACAAAAGAGGCCAGGACAUGAUGUAUUCUCUAAGGACAUGCCCUGGGUGACACAUUCCUCCAGGUAGGUUACCACACACUCCCAAGAUAGCUCCUCCAGCUGGGGACUACACUUCCUUAGUACCCCCUGCAGUCAAACCCCAACAUGCUAUUGCUUUCUGUAUAUGUAUGUUAUCAACUAUGCUUCUUUCCCAGAAAAACAAAACCUCAGUAGAUUGAAAUUUAGGAUUAAGUCCUCAAAAUCAAGCAGCCUUUGACGGGUGCUGUUUUGGUCAAAGCUUUGGUCUACCACCGGGGUUCAAUCUUCUAGUACAUAGCGGACUUGCCUUUCCAGUCCUUUCCAGUAAUGCUGAUCUCAUCUCGUGCUCCCUCCAGUCCCCUCCUUUCGUCUUAGCAGUCUUUUCACACCUGAUGCAGGGCUUUGCUUUCUCUCUAAAUAAAAAGUCUUUGUGAGCAGCAGGGUACCUAGCUACCCAGCUUCUUGCCUGCUCCCUGCUCUGCAUCCUUGCUGCUCAUCUUUUCCCCAAAGCUCUUCGUUACAAUUUCUAGAGCUGUCAUUUACGUGCAUGCGCUCAUGCAGGGGCUAUAAAAUAAACUCGAGGUAAUAAACCAGUGCUAGUAAAUCAACCUCAUCAGUCUAACUCAGAUUCCUUCUGUAUUCUCAUGAAGAAAAGCCUCGCUCUAGCCAAUUCCUCAAAAUCUUUCAUCAGCUCCAUACUAAAGAGUGAAGGACAAAUGUUGUGCCAGGACAACAGAGACCCUUUAAUCCAUCUUGUCCAUUUUAUCUCUAGCUCCUCUCUUACCCAACACAUUAUCCAAAUAAGCUUGUUCAUUAUUCGCUGACAGCCAAGGGCAUGGGACGAGGGCCAGACUGCCUGUUUUACUUUUGCUCUCUCACCCCUUGAUGUGUUCCUUGGGUAAGUUAAUUAAUUUACCCAAUCUGACCAAUUGUUGCUACUGAAAAACAACUAGUAGUAAUAGUCUUCUUCAAAAUAUUUGAGGAAGUAAAAGUAUUACUCCAUGUAAAAUUGUAGAGAGUUGUGUAUGACAAGUGAUCAAAAAUUAA